This 468-nucleotide ribosomal RNA is filed under the name uncultured bacterium. RNAcentral describes it as "partial 16S ribosomal RNA". It matches the Rfam family "Bacterial small subunit ribosomal RNA", at positions 28 to 507 of the family's 1533-position model. The record is from RNAcentral.
GACGAACGCUGGCGGCGUGCUUAACACAUGCAAGUCGAACGGAAAGGCCCUGCUUUUGUGGGGUGCUCGAGUGGCGAACGGGUGAGUAACACGUGAGUAACCUGCCCUUGACUUUGGGAUAACUUCAGGAAACUGGGGCUAAUACCGGAUAGGAGCUCCUGCUGCAUGGUGGGGGUUGGAAAGUUUCGGCGGUUGGGGAUGGACUCGCGGCUUAUCAGCUUGUUGGUGGGGUAGUGGCUUACCAAGGCUUUGACGGGUAGCCGGCCUGAGAGGGUGACCGGCCACAUUGGGACUGAGGUACGGCCCAGAAUCCUACGGGAGGCAGCAGUGGGGAAUAUUGCACAAUGGGCGGAAGCCAGAGGCAGCAGCGCCGGGUGCGGGAUGACGGCCUUCGGGUGAUAAACCGCUUUCGCCUGAGACGAGGCGAGAGUGACGGUAAUGGGUAAGAAAGCAACGGCUAACUACGUG